AAGCUCAGCUCCCAUGGAAGGCUCCGCUUGACCAGUUAAGCAAAGAGUCUAAUUUGCAGGACUCAGGCAACGAACCUAAGAGGGUAGAGGAAGAAGGGUCCCCCCCACCCAACAAUACUCCUCCAUUUGAGAGGUCAAGUCGAAUUCUCCUCCCUUUGAGUGUGGGCUGGACUUUCUGACUCGCUAUUAAGAAAUAGAGCAAAGUAGAAGUGACAAUGUGUGAACUUGGAGACUAGGUUAUAAAAGGCGUUGCAAAGUCCUCCUCUUUCUUUCUGGGGAAAGUUAUGCCAUGUUGUAAGGACACACAGAUAUCCACGUGAUGAGGAGCUGAGGCCUGCUACCAAAAGCCGUGUGAACGAGCCACCUUGUAGGUCCCCAGCCCUAGUAAAGCCUUCACAUGCUGUCAGCCUCUGCCAACAUCUCGGCUGCAGCUACUGAGAGACUUUGAACCAGAACCACCAGCUCGGCUGCUCUGGAACUCCUGACCCACAGAAACUGUGAGAUAAUAAAGACUCGUUGUUUUAGACUACUAAAGUUUUGGAGUAAUUCAUUACACAACAGCAGAUGACUGAUACGAUGAGGAAAUGAGCAUUUCAAAGGGAGAGGGAUCAAGCAUGUCCGUGCUGCUGAGAAGUCCAGCUGGAUUCAGCAGCUUGUGCCCGUGGUUACCCUCUGGUGGGACUGAGUCCUGCUGGCUGUCCCUGAGGUGAGGAGUCUAAGCGUCUAUAGGAGUCCAGGCCAGGAUGAGCACACACAGUUGCAGGAAACGAGCAGUCAUUUGCUGUCUCACUUCUGUGAUGCUGGAGGGAAAGAAAAGAAAGAAGCGUCUGGGGCUGGCCUUGAUCAGUCCUCACUUAGGAGACAGUUGUGGCCCGUUGCAAGGUGAAUCUGGAAAAGCCUGACUUUUAAAACAGGCACCAACGCACAAGUCUGCUCUGUGCCUUUGGCCAGGAGGCUUAUGGAGUAAAAUCAAAUAAGUGAAUUUUCUCUGUUCCCUCUUGGGAUUCCUCUGGGUAAAGUCAAGACAUCUGUUGAUACUUUAUUAUUUUCAGUAAAGGACCCAAACUGACUCGUGUGUUAGUCGGCCAUCACCUGACCGAGCAGCUCUCCAGGGGGAGAUGUCCCAGGAGUCUGACUUCAGUUUCACCUCUCACCUGGAACUGUCUCGGAGAAGCACCACGGAACUCCGUGCCAGAUGGGCUGAGCCCUUCUCGCCUGCUUACUUUUUGACAGAGAACAGCCAGUUUG
This 1248-nucleotide long non-coding RNA is filed under the name Equus asinus (donkey). Its description in RNAcentral is "lncRNA (ENSEASG00005037755.1)". Lineage: Eukaryota; Metazoa; Chordata; Mammalia; Perissodactyla; Equidae. The record is from RNAcentral.